RNAcentral lists this ribosomal RNA (501 nucleotides) under uncultured bacterium. Its description in RNAcentral is "partial 16S ribosomal RNA". It matches the Rfam family "Bacterial small subunit ribosomal RNA", at positions 30 to 523 of the family's 1533-position model. The record is from RNAcentral.
AUUGAACGCUGGCGGCAGGCUUAACACAUGCAAGUCGAGCGGGGGAAGGUAGCUUGCUACCGGACCUAGCGGCGGACGGGUGAGUAAUGCUUAGGAAUCUGCCUAUUAGUGGGGGACAACAUCUCGAAAGGGAUGCUAAUACCGCAUACGUCCUACGGGAGAAAGCAGGGGAUCUUCGGACCUUGCGCUAAUAGAUGAGCCUAAGUCGGAUUAGCUAGUUGGUGGGGUAAAGGCCUACCAAGGCGACGAUCUGUAGCGGGUCUGAGAGGAUGAUCCGCCAAACUGGGACUGAGACACGGCCCAGACUCCUACGGGAGGCAGCAGUGGGGAAUAUUGGACAAUGGGGGGAACCCUGAUCCAGCCAUGCCGCGUGUGUGAAGAAGGCCUUAUGGUUGUAAAGCACUUUAAGCGAGGAGGAGGCUACUUUAGUUAAUACCUAGAGAUAGUGGACGUUACUCGCAGAAUAAGCACCGGCUAACUCUGUGCCAGCCGCCGCGGUAA